This 443-nucleotide ribosomal RNA is filed under the name uncultured bacterium. RNAcentral's name for it is "partial 16S ribosomal RNA". It matches the Rfam family "Bacterial small subunit ribosomal RNA", at positions 338 to 795 of the family's 1533-position model. The record is from RNAcentral.
CCUACGGGAGGCAGCAGUGGGGAAUAUUGGGCAAUGGGCGCAAGCCUGACCCAGCAACGCCGCGUGAAGGAAGAAGGCUUUCGGGUUUUAAACUUCUUUUCUCAGGGACGAAGCAAGUGACGGUACCUUAUGAAUAAGCCACGGCUAACUACGUGCCAGCAGCCGCUGUAAUACGUAGGUGUCAAGCGUUAACCGGAUUUACUGGGUGUAAAGGGCGUUUAGGCGGGACUGGAAGUCAGAUGUGAAAACCACGGGCUCAAACUGUGGCCUGCAUUUGAAACUGUAGUUCUUGAGUACUGGAGAGGCAGACGGAAUUCCUAGUGUAGCGGUGAAAUGCGUAGAUAUUAGGAGGAACACCAGUGGCGAAGGCGGUCUGCUGGACAGCAACUGACGCUGAGGCGCGAAAGCGUGGGGAGCAAACAGGAUUAGAUACCCGGGUAGUC